UUCAGGACACUCUGAAAGGACUUAGAAUGAGGAGACUCGUACUUGCGUCUGUUCUCUGAGAGUCCUCAGUGAUGGGGCUUGAACUCAAGAUUAGAAAGAGGAUUGUUCACCAAACUGCCAAUUUCUAUUAUGGAGAGCCUCCUUUUAGGCGCCGUAAGUAUAUAAUAAAUUCAUCGUGGAACUUUCAAA
Molecule: long non-coding RNA, 189 nt
Organism: Monodelphis domestica (gray short-tailed opossum)
Lineage: Eukaryota; Metazoa; Chordata; Mammalia; Didelphimorphia; Didelphidae
Source: RefSeq, a predicted model, not a curated record